RNAcentral lists this signal recognition particle RNA (99 nucleotides) under Oscillospiraceae bacterium. RNAcentral's name for it is "signal recognition particle sRNA small type". It matches the Rfam family "Bacterial small signal recognition particle RNA". From Rfam's summary of the family: The signal recognition particle (SRP) is a universally conserved ribonucleoprotein involved in the co-translational targeting of proteins to membranes. Archaeal SRP consists of a 7S RNA and homologues of the eukaryotic SRP19 and SRP54 proteins. In most bacteria, the SRP consists of a 4.5S RNA and the Ffh protein (a homologue of the eukaryotic SRP54 protein). Lineage: Bacteria; Bacillati; Bacillota; Clostridia; Eubacteriales; Oscillospiraceae. The record is from RNAcentral.
CAGUGGGCCCUGUGCGGCGGGUUGCCGUGAACCAUGUCAGGCGGGGAACCGAGCAGCAUUAAGCGGAUUUACCUGUGCGCCGCAGGUUUUCCUGCUGUU